GGGAAAAAUCUGAGAAAAAUUCCAGCUGCUUUCUCUCCGAUUUUUUUCACCGCCCAUGACAUGCUUUACUACACUCCCGUGCAUCUCUUGUUCCUGCUUACCACGAGAUGAAAAUACCCCUGCUGCUUUCCAGCCUUUCGUAAGUACUAUAUGGAGAAAUGGUCAAAAGAACAAAUAAAAGGUGAAUGCGAUAGGAAAAGAGAGGUUCUCCUGAUAUUUUUCUUCUUCGGCUGCCUUAUCCUCUUCUUCUUCCAGCCAUCGUCUACAUCCGUCGCUGGAUUUUUUUUCCCCUGCGCCGCUCAUCUGCUGUUCUUAUCCCAUGCCGCCGUUCGCUGGCCGCGUGUACUCUGGGGUCGUCGUGCUGGCCGCCUCCCUCGUCUUCUCCUCAGGCCCUCCCGCGCUCUCCCUGCCUUCUGCACGCGCGCAGCUCGCCCCAGAUCCUCCCAGCCAUGACGCGCGCUUCCCUGUGCCCCGCGUUCCUUCUCUGCACUGCUUCCUCUGCUCCAUCUUCAAGCACGCCGCGCUCCAAAUCGCCUGCUGUUCCUCUUCCCCAGCCAUGGCCGCGCCUGGCUCGCCGGCGUUCAGGCCGCGGCUUCCUCCUCCAACUCCGGUCGGCCAAGAGCCUAGCUGCCCCCUUGCUUCUCUCCCUCCAUUUCCCAGCAGCGCCCUGUCCCUGUCGAAGCCCUUCUAUGGCGCGCGUGGAUUUCUCCUCCUCCAUCCCCAGCUAGCCUGCGAGCUCCUCCCUCCUCCCUGCAUCCAUGGAUCUCGGCGCCCAUCUCCAUGGCUCGCCCUGCGUCCAGCCGCCGCGCCCGGUUCCGAGUCCCUUUCCUGGCCGAGUUCCCUGCUCCAUCUCUGCCCUCUGCCGGCGCUCCAGCUCCUCCAUCCAUGGCCAUGCCUGCUGCUCGUCGGUGCUCGCCGCGGGAGACGGCGCUUGGUCGCCCAACCUUCCUGCUCCUCCCUGCUGUCGUGUCCCUGGCUCCUGCUCCACUCGUUGCGUGCGCCUGCGCGCUGCCCAGAUGGCCGUCUGUCCUUCCGUGUCACGCCUAGCUCCAGCUCGGUCUCUGCUCGAUGCCCAGCGUCGCGCAGCACGGCUCGGCCCGACGGCAUAGAGUGUCUCGUCAUCGCCGGACUUGUCUCGCCGACCAUCGUGGCGUUG
Molecule: unclassified non-coding RNA, 1156 nt
Filed under: Zea mays
Lineage: Eukaryota; Viridiplantae; Streptophyta; Magnoliopsida; Poales; Poaceae
Description: misc RNA Zm00001eb340060
Source: RNAcentral